RNAcentral lists this ribosomal RNA (229 nucleotides) under uncultured bacterium. Its description in RNAcentral is "partial 16S ribosomal RNA". It matches the Rfam family "Bacterial small subunit ribosomal RNA", at positions 568 to 796 of the family's 1533-position model. The record is from RNAcentral.
UCCGUAGGUGGAUAAUUUAGUCAGAGGUGAAAUCCUGCAGCUCAACUGUAGAAUUGCCUUUGAUACUGGUUAUCUUGAGUUAUUAUGAAGUAGUUAGAAUAUGUAGUGUAGCGGUGAAAUGCAUAGAUAUUACAUAGAAUACCAAUUGCGAAGGCAGAUUACUAAUAAUCAACUGACACUGAUGAACGAAAGCGUGGGGAGCGAACAGGAUUAGAUACCCUGGUAGUCC